CCCACAUGAUAUACCACCUCCUCCAUAUCUCCAUAUGUACACACAGGUAUCACAACAUGCACAUACUUAUCUAACAAAAUCACUGGCAAAAGAAGAGGGGACUAAGAGAAAAUACACACACAAUAAAAAAGAGGUAGAAAAUGGAAAAAGAAAAAUACCAAAAUUGAGAAGAGAAAUAGUGAGGAAAAAAGGGAGAAAGUAGACGCAGACAACAAAAACCAAAGUGAAA
This 229-nucleotide long non-coding RNA is filed under the name Capsicum annuum. Its description in RNAcentral is "long non-coding RNA (CANN_LNC005125)". The record is from RNAcentral. Lineage: Eukaryota; Viridiplantae; Streptophyta; Magnoliopsida; Solanales; Solanaceae.